AAUAGAUACCCUGGUAGUCCACGCCGUAAACGAUGAGUGCUAAGUGUUAGAGGGUUUCCACCCUUUAGUGCUGCAGCUAACGCAUUAAGCACUCCGCCUGGGGAGUACGGCCGCAAGGCUGAAACUCAAAGGAAUUGACGGGGGCCCGCACAAGCGGUGGAGCAUGUGGUUUAAUUCGAAGCAACGCGAAGAACCUUAUCAGGUCUUGACAUCCUCUGCCAACCCUAGAGAUAGGGCGUUCCCCUUCGGGGGACAGAGUGACAGGUGGUGCAUGGUUGUCGUCAGCUCGUGUCGUGAGAUGUUGGGUUAAGUCCCGCAACGAGCGCAACCCUUGAUCUUAGUUGCCAGCAUUCAGUUGGGCACUCUAAGGUGACUGCCGGUGACAAACCGGAGAAGGUGGGGAUGACGUCAAAUCAUCAUGCCCCUUAUGACCUGGGCUACACACGUGCUACAAUGGAUGGUACAAAGAGCUGCGAACCCGCGAGGGUAAGCGAAUCUCAUAAAGCCAUUCUCAGUUCGGAUUGGU
This 526-nucleotide ribosomal RNA is filed under the name uncultured bacterium. RNAcentral's name for it is "bacterial SSU rRNA". It matches the Rfam family "Bacterial small subunit ribosomal RNA", at positions 777 to 1302 of the family's 1533-position model. The record is from RNAcentral.